AUACGUAGGGUGCGAGCGUUGUCCGGACUUACUGGGCGUAAAGAGCUCGUAGGUGGUUUGUCGCGUCGUCUGUGAAAUUCAGGGGCUUAACUCCGGGCGUGCAGGCGAUACGGGCAUAACUUGAGUACUGUAGGGGAGACUGGAGUUCCUGGUGUAGCGGUGAAUUGCGCAGAUAUCAGGAGGAACACCGGUGGCGAAGGGGGUUCUCUGGGCAGUAACUGACGCUGAGGAGCGAAAGCAUGGGUAGCGAACAGGAUUAGAUACCCUGUUAGUCCAUGCCGUAAACGGUGGGCGCUAGGUGUAGGGGUCUUCCACGACUUCUGUGCCGUAGCUAACGCAUUAAGCGCCCCGCCUGGGGAGUACGGCCGCAAGGCUAAAACUCAAAUGAAUUGACGGGG
RNAcentral lists this ribosomal RNA (398 nucleotides) under uncultured bacterium. RNAcentral's name for it is "partial 16S ribosomal RNA". It matches the Rfam family "Bacterial small subunit ribosomal RNA", at positions 523 to 918 of the family's 1533-position model. The record is from RNAcentral.